CUUCAUGGCGGUCGUGCGCGGGCAGGCUUUAGCCUGGUCGGGUUUUCCCUGCGGCCCGGGUGUCACCCCUCGCACGACUGCCACCCUA
Molecule: non-coding RNA, 88 nt
Filed under: Pseudomonas putida
Lineage: Bacteria; Pseudomonadati; Pseudomonadota; Gammaproteobacteria; Pseudomonadales; Pseudomonadaceae
Source: RNAcentral